UCUUGGACAAUGGGCGCAAGCCUGAUCCAGCCAUGCCGCGUGUGUGAAGAAGGCCCUAGGGUUGUAAAGCACUUUCAGCAGGGAGGAAGGCUUCUGGUUAAUACCCGGGAGUACUUGACGUUACCUGCAGAAGAAGCACCGGCUAAUUUCGUGCCAGCAGCCGCGGUAAUACGAAAGGUGCGAGCGUUAAUCGGAAUUACUGGGCGUAAAGCGCGCGUAGGCGGCUGCUUAAGUCUGAUGUGAAAUCCCCGGGCUCAACCUGGGAAUGGCAUCGGAUACUGGGUAGCUAGAGUGCAGUAGAGGAAGGUGGAAUUCCAGGUGUAGCGGUGAAAUGCGUAGAGAUCUGGAGGAACACCAGUGGCGAAGGCGGCCUUCUGGACUGACACUGACGCUGAGGUGCGAAAGCGUGGGGAUCAAACAGG
This 422-nucleotide ribosomal RNA is filed under the name uncultured bacterium. Its description in RNAcentral is "bacterial SSU rRNA". It matches the Rfam family "Bacterial small subunit ribosomal RNA", at positions 362 to 776 of the family's 1533-position model. The record is from RNAcentral.